This 459-nucleotide ribosomal RNA is filed under the name Triticum aestivum (bread wheat). RNAcentral describes it as "partial small subunit ribosomal RNA". Lineage: Eukaryota; Viridiplantae; Streptophyta; Magnoliopsida; Poales; Poaceae. The record is from RNAcentral.
AUGGGCACGCCGUGCACAGAUGAUGACCGGGUGUUUUUUGCGGCUGCCACGCGAGUCACGGUGGGCAACGGACGAACAGAAAUUUUUUGGAACUCCUCUUGGCUACAGGGCUUGAGACCUCGUGACAUCACGCCCCGCAUCUUUGACCUCUCUCGAAAGAAAAAUUGUUCCGUCCAGCAAGCUCUACACAACAAUCUGUGGAUCUCUAACAUCGACAUUUUCAAUGGCCUUUCUCUUGGUCACGUCCAAGAGUUUGCAAAUCUUUGGGGAAAGCUGAAUUCUGCCACCCUUGAAGAGGGGAUGGAGGAUUCAAUUGUAUGGAAGUUCACUAAAGAUGGUAUGUACUCUGCCUCUUCAGCAUACAAGGCGCAGUUUGAAGGGCUUACUACUUCAUAUCUGGUGCAAUCGGUCUGGAAGGUGUGGGCUCCCCCGCGAUACAAUUUUUUUGCUUGGCUUGUU